UGGAUGGAUGAGGUGUGGUACGAUGGCGCAAACGCUGGUGCACAAUGUGGGCAUGGUGUAUAAUUGAUAAGACUGUUCUCAUGCCAAUCUUUUGAAACAAUGGCAGAGGGCCAUAUCUGACUCUAAAAAAGCCACAUGGUCUGACCCACUGGCUUGAACUCACAGUCCUUACGACAGCACAGGCCCUGACUGGGACUGAUGGACAGGAGAGAGAAACCAUCAUGCACAAAUGAAUCAAGGGUUUUCCGGGCCUGAGUCGACACUGGACUCCUACAGGCUGUUUCGCACUGAAGCAGCAGGGAUCUGUGUUGUAGUGGCCAACAUCACAUUCCUCGCCUUGCUCCACAAUCUGGUUUCCACAGAUUGGUUGA
This is a long non-coding RNA of Cheilinus undulatus (humphead wrasse), 371 nucleotides long. RefSeq lists it as uncharacterized. The transcript has 3 exons. Lineage: Eukaryota; Metazoa; Chordata; Actinopteri; Labriformes; Labridae. The record is from RefSeq and is a predicted model, not a curated record.